Molecule: long non-coding RNA, 331 nt
Organism: Helianthus annuus (common sunflower)
Lineage: Eukaryota; Viridiplantae; Streptophyta; Magnoliopsida; Asterales; Asteraceae
Exons: 3
Source: RefSeq, a predicted model, not a curated record
CCAGGGAGUGUCCUCCAAACCCUAGAUUUCACAUAAAACUCACAUAUUGAAGCCCUUAAUCUGCUCUAAAUCGAGUUUCAAACACGGAUUAGUGAUCACCUUGUUGCGGGGAUCAAAAGUUUGACGCUUGACAAGCUAGGUGGGAGCUUGUGGAUGAAGCGGGUCAAACGAAUCAAGAACGGAAGGAAAAGCAUGGCAUGGAUGCGAGGUACUUUUGGAUGCCGGAAGACGAUCAAGCUCAACGAGGAACCGAACACGAUAAAGAUACACGCUUCCGCACUUUGCAUCGUCAUUAAUUUUAAACGACGAAUCUGAUCACGUUAUGUCAAAU